UUAUAAAUUUAAUUAUUAUUAUUGAUUUUUUAAAGUAUUAUUUUAUUUAUUAUUAUAAAAGAAAAAUUAAUUUUUUAUUAUAGUUUACUAGUAAAGUGAUUGAAUUUAUUUAUAUAUUAAUAAGAAAAAUUUAUUUUUUGUACCUUGUGUAUCAGGGUUGAUUAAUUUUAUAAUUAUUAUUAAUUUUUCUCGAAUUAAGAAGAGCUAAUUAUGUAUAUGUUUAAUUUUUUCAUAAAUUUUCAUAAUAUAUAAUUUGAAAUGAAAUGUUAUUCGUUUCUUAAUAUAUCUAGUUUUUUAAGAAAAGAAUUUAAUUCUCUUAUUAUUUAUUAUUAGUUAAUUUUUAGUUAAUAAUUUUUAGUAUGAAAUAAAUAAAGGGAUAAGCUUUUAUUUUAAUAAUUAAAAAUUUAUUUGAUUUUAUUUUUUGUAUAAUUUAAAUUGUUAAUCAUUUUUAUAAUAUAAUAGUUAAUUUUAUUUAAUUAAUGAUUUAUAUUUAUUUUAAUUUUUUUAUUAAAAAUUUAUGUUUAAUUUUUUAGCUUUUUUAUAAUGAUUAAAUUAGUAGAUAAAUAUGUAUUUUAUUAUUUAUUUUUAAGAUAAUAAAAAGGAACUCGGCAAAUAAAUUUUUCGCCUGUUUAUUAAAAACAUGUCUUUUUGAUUAUAAUUUAAGGUUUAAUCUGCUCAAUGAUUUAUUAAAUUGCCGCAGUAUUUUGACUGUGCAAAGGUAGCAUAAUAAUUAGCUUUUUUAUUGAGAGCUGGAAUGAAUGAUUGGACGAAAAAAUUUCUGUCUCUUUAUUAUUUAUUAUUUAAUUUUACUUUUAAGUUAAAAGGCUUAAAUUUUUUUAAAAGACGAGAAGACCCUAUAGAGUUUUAUUUUUAUUUUUUGAUUAAUUUUUAGAAUUUAAAAUAUUUUAUAAAAUAAAAAAUUUAGUUGGGGUGACUGAAAGAUUAAUUAAACUCUUUUAAUUGAAAUCAUUUAUUUAUGAAUAGAGAAAUUAUUUUUAUAAAUUUAAAAUAAAUUACCUUAGGGAUAACAGCGUUAUUUUUCUUUAGAGUUCUUAUUGAAAGGAAAGAUUGCGACCUCGAUGUUGGAUUAAAAUUUAUUUUUGGUGUAGAAGCUUAAAAUAUUAAGUCUGUUCGACUUUUAAAAUUUUACAUGAUCUGAGUUUAAACCGGUGUAAGCCAGGUUGGUUUCUAUCUUUAAAUUUUUAAUAUAUUUUAGUACGAAAGGACCAAAUAUAUAAUAUAUUAUUUUAUUUUGAAUAAUAUU
Molecule: ribosomal RNA, 1264 nt
Filed under: Abscondita chinensis
Lineage: Eukaryota; Metazoa; Arthropoda; Insecta; Coleoptera; Lampyridae
Description: 16S ribosomal RNA
Rfam family: Archaeal large subunit ribosomal RNA (bases 1024-1183)
Source: RNAcentral